Molecule: non-coding RNA, 796 nt
Organism: Drosophila suzukii
Lineage: Eukaryota; Metazoa; Arthropoda; Insecta; Diptera; Drosophilidae
Source: RefSeq, a predicted model, not a curated record
GGAAAGCAGGAGUAGGAGAGACGGAAACCAAAGCUCUUAAAAACGCUCAUUAUGCAUCGUCGCAAAAGACUUGAGAGUUUUCAUUUCUCCUCUACGACUGUUAUCCUGUGUAUCUCUGUAGCCUUUGAGUUCAUGCGGUCCUUUCAUUGACGCCUAUAGCUCCCUGAUGAGCUUCACUGCACCUAUCUUCAGUCUCACUUGGCUUUCCACGACGACCUCCUCGUAUAGGGGAGAGUGGGGAUAGGUGAACCACGGGGAUAGAAGAACCACUACAAAUAUUUCACCUUCUAUCAUGAUUUUGUGCGCCAUCUAUAUGUGUGUUGCUUACUUAGUCGAUAUCCUAACCUCACACGCACGCACAGUCGCGUCAAACGAUUGCUGUCGUUUUUAUCGCUAAUCGAAGUUUGUAUUCGCCGUUUGCACCUUCAAUUGUGACCUAACGUUUUCUUGGAAAAAUUUUAUCGUGCUUCGCCAGUGGUAUUGAACUUCAUAAAAUUGUAUUUUAUCGAGGACUUACGAGGGUACCCAAAGGCUAAACCACGAAAACAGACGACUCGGGGAAGAAAACGAGGAAGGAGUAUCAUUGCUACAGACUCACCGCAGAAAAAUUGAUCGCGGAAAAACACAAUCAGAAAACUCAAGAAAACCUUCGAAAAAAGAAAGAAUAAAAACAAAAAUAAGAAUAAAUAGCAAUAUUGUAAUGUUUGAUUUCAUGCUGUAAAGGUGCAAUGUUUAUAUUCGAACAGAAAGAAGGCAUGCACAAAGAAAUAAAUUACACUUUUUUUAUACAAUUGUA